RNAcentral lists this ribosomal RNA (450 nucleotides) under uncultured bacterium. RNAcentral's name for it is "bacterial SSU rRNA". It matches the Rfam family "Bacterial small subunit ribosomal RNA", at positions 355 to 796 of the family's 1533-position model. The record is from RNAcentral.
UGAGGAAUCUUGCGCAAUGGGCGAAAGCCUGACGCAGCGACGCCGCGUGGAGGAUGAAGGUCUUCGGAUCGUAAACUCCUGUGAGGUGGGACGAAUGCCGGAGAGGCGAAUAACCUCUCCAGUUGACGGUACCAUCAGAGGAAGCCCCGGCUAACUCCGUGCCAGCAGCCGCGGUAAUACGGAGGGGGCCAGCGUUGUUCGGAAUCAUUGGGCGUAAAGGGCGCGUAGGCGGCCGAGCAAGUCGGACGUGAAAUACCCCGGCUCAACUGGGGAAUUGCAUCUGAAACUGCCUGGCUUGAGUCCUGGAGAGGGUAGUGGAAUUCCCAGUGUAGCGGUGAAAUGCGUAGAUACUGGGAGGAACACCGGUGGCGAAGGCGGCUACCUGGACAGGUACUGACGCUGAGGCGCGAAAGCUAGGGGAGCAAACAGGAUUAGAUACCCGCGUAGUCC